GCACAUUCAUUACUUCUAAGACAAUUCAAAGGAAAAAAACUAGGGUUUGUGUUUCUUCCAAGCCGUCGCCCCUCUCCCACCUGAAUCACCGGCGACGUUACUCCAUUUCAUGUCUUCGGUCAACGAUAGCCUAUCGCCUAUGUGAAAAAAAUUAUACUUGUCUAUUCCUGGGUUUUUUAGUUCACGUCUUCAUAAGGGUUAGCUAUUUCCAAUGGAUACUCCAGAUGAAAACAACAAGUGUGAACUGGUUUCUGAAAAUAAGGAAUUUAACCAAGAAGUGAUUAGGAAAGCUUUAGUAAACUUGUUGAUUGUUGGUGAACUACUUUUAGAUUUAUGUCCGGAUUUGACUUGUUUUAAAUGAUUGUGAUUGUUUGAAACUUUGGAUUAUUUAAGUUUGAAUGCUUAUUAUUUUUUAUGUUAAACACUUGGUUGUGUUGAUCCGGGUUUGGAUUUAAACAUUGUUGAAUACAGGUUUGGAUUUAAUCA
Molecule: long non-coding RNA, 486 nt
Organism: Helianthus annuus (common sunflower)
Lineage: Eukaryota; Viridiplantae; Streptophyta; Magnoliopsida; Asterales; Asteraceae
Exons: 3
Source: RefSeq, a predicted model, not a curated record